GACGAACGCUGGCGGCGUGCUUAACACAUGCAAGUCGAACGGAAAGGCGAUGCGUUUGUGGGGUGCUCGAGUGGCGAACGGGUGAGUAACACGUGAGUAACCUGCCCUUGAAUGUGGGAUAACUUCAGGAAACUGGGGCUAAUACCGGGUAGGAGCUCCUGCUGCAUGGUGGGGGUUGGAAAGUGUCGGCGGUUGUGGAUGGACUCGAGGCUUAUUAGCUUGUUGGUGUGGUAGUUGCUUACCAAGGGUUUGACGGGUAGCCGGCCUGAGAGGGUGACCGGCCUCAUGGGGACUGCGAUAGGGACCAGAAGCGAACGGGCGGCAGCAGUGGGGAACAUUGCACAACGGGCCGACGCCUGAUGUAGAAACGCCGCGUGCGGGAUGCCCUCUUUCGGGUUGUAAACAGAUUUGGAAUGUGCCGAAGAGUGCGUGACGGUAAUGGGUCAAGAAGCCCCGGCUAACUACGUG
Molecule: ribosomal RNA, 468 nt
Filed under: uncultured bacterium
Lineage: Bacteria
Description: partial 16S ribosomal RNA
Rfam family: Bacterial small subunit ribosomal RNA
Source: RNAcentral